Molecule: ribosomal RNA, 488 nt
Filed under: uncultured bacterium
Lineage: Bacteria
Description: bacterial SSU rRNA
Rfam family: Bacterial small subunit ribosomal RNA
Source: RNAcentral
AGGACACGCUGGCGGCGUGGAUUAGGCAUGCAAGUCGAACGGUAUCAUCCUUUCGGGGGUGAGAGAGUGGCGAACUGGUGAGUAACACGUAGGUUAUCUACCCUCAAGACGGGGGACAACCCAGGGAAACUUGGGCUAAUACCGGAUGUGAGCAACUUUUAGUUGUUUGAAAGGUGGCGUAAGCUGUCGCUUGGGGAUGAGCCUGCGUCCUAUUAGUUAGUUGGUGAGGUAACGGCUCACCUAGGCAAUGAUAGGUAGGCGGCCUUAACGGGUGGUCGCCCACACUGGGAUUGAGAUACGGCCCAGACUCCUACGGGAGGCAGCAGUCGAGAAUAGUCUACAAUGGUCGGAAGACUGAUAGUGCGACGCCGCGUGAACGAUGAAUCCCUUCGGGGUGUAAAGUUCUUUUAUAUGUGAGCAGUGCUUCUUAUAUUAACAGUAUGGGGAGAGAGAUAUUAGCAUAUGAAUAAGCAACGGCUAACUCCGUG